AGUCGAACGAAGCUUGACGGAUGAUUUCUUCGGAGUGAAACCAGAUAUGACUUAGUGGCGGACGGGUGAGUAACACGUGAGCAACCUGCCUUUCAGAGGGGGAUAACGGCUGGAAACGGUCGCUAAUACCGCAUGAUGUGUUCGGAUGGCAUCAUCUGGACAUCAAAGAUUUAUCGCUGAAAGAUGGGCUCGCGUCUGAUUAGAUAGUUGGUGGGGUAACGGCCUACCAAGUCUACGAUCAGUAGCCGGACUGAGAGGUUGAACGGCCACAUUGGGACUGAGAUACGGCCCAGACUCCUACGGGAGGCAGCAGUGGGGAAUAUUGCACAAUGGGGGAAACCCUGAUGCAGCAACGCCGCGUGAAGGAUGACGGUUUUCGGAUUGUAAACUUCUUUUCUUAGUGACGAAGACAGUGACGGUAGCUAAGGAAUAAGCAUCGGCUAACUACGUGCCAGCAGCCGCGGUAAUACGUAGGAUGCAAGCGUUAUCCGGAUUUACUGGGUGUAAAGGGAGCGCAGGCGGGACUGCAAGUUGGAUGUGAAAUACCGUGGCUUAACCACGGAACUGCAUCCAAAACUGUAGUUCUUGAGUGAAGUAGAGGCAAGCGGAAUUCCGAGUGUAGCGGUGAAAUGCGUAGAUAUUCGGAGGAACACCAGUGGCGAAGGCGGCUUGCUGGGCUUUAACUGACGCUGAGGCUCGAAAGUGUGGGGAGCAAACAGGAUUAGAUACCCUGGUAGUCCACACUGUAAACGAUGAUAGCUAGGUGUGGGGGGUCUGACCCCGUCCGUGCCGGAGUUAACGCAAUAAGCUAUCCACCUGGGGAGUACGA
This 829-nucleotide ribosomal RNA is filed under the name uncultured bacterium. RNAcentral describes it as "bacterial SSU rRNA". It matches the Rfam family "Bacterial small subunit ribosomal RNA", at positions 60 to 885 of the family's 1533-position model. The record is from RNAcentral.